GAGUAGUAAUAGUUAUGUUCUUGAAACUUAAAGAAUUUGGCGGUAUUUUAGUCUAUUCAGAGGAACCUGUUCUGUAAUCGAUAAUCCACGAGGACUUUAUUUAUACUUGUUUUUAAUUUGUAUACCGCCGUUAUAAAUUAUCUUAUUAGAGAAUUAAUUUUUUUAAUUUUUAAAAAGUAUAUCAGGUCAAGGUGCAGUUUAUGUAUAAGGAAGAAAUGGGUUACAAUAAUUUUAUUUAAAUGAAUUUAAAAUUGAAAUAUUUUAUUGAAAGCGGAUUUGAAAGUAAAAUUAUAUAUUUAGUUAAUUUGAUUUUAGCUCUAAAAUAUGU
RNAcentral lists this ribosomal RNA (328 nucleotides) under Stratiomys ruficornis. RNAcentral's name for it is "partial 12S ribosomal RNA". Lineage: Eukaryota; Metazoa; Arthropoda; Insecta; Diptera; Stratiomyidae. The record is from RNAcentral.